GCGGGUAUGGUGAAAAGGUAUCACGCGAGCUUCCCAAGCUUACGUUGCGGGUUCGAUUCCCGCUACCCGCUCCA
RNAcentral lists this transfer RNA (74 nucleotides) under Marivita cryptomonadis. Its description in RNAcentral is "tRNA-Gly". It matches the Rfam family "tRNA". From Rfam's summary of the family: Transfer RNA (tRNA) molecules are approximately 80 nucleotides in length. Their secondary structure includes four short double-helical elements and three loops (D, anti-codon, and T loops). Lineage: Bacteria; Pseudomonadati; Pseudomonadota; Alphaproteobacteria; Rhodobacterales; Roseobacteraceae. The record is from RNAcentral. RNAcentral also lists the same sequence under 5 other names.